Molecule: long non-coding RNA, 615 nt
Filed under: Microcebus murinus (gray mouse lemur)
Lineage: Eukaryota; Metazoa; Chordata; Mammalia; Primates; Cheirogaleidae
Description: lncRNA (ENSMICG00000048538.1)
Source: RNAcentral
AAUUGGGAAAUCUCUCUUUGACUUUCAGAAUAGCACAGUAGCAGAGACUCUAAGUCUAAAGAGACCUAGAUUCAGAGCAGACCCGAUGCUGCUUGAAGAAGGCUGGAAAUGUGUUAAGGAGACAAGCAAGGGCUGUCAAGAAGCAGGGAUAUCUCUGGAAGGGCUUUGCAGUUCACCUGUUCUCCUCUGCUGGGAAUUCUUCUGCUCAGUGUACGCUGGAGAGAUAUGCUGCCUUUUGGCUCAUGCAGGUUUUCAAGUGUAAUGGAAGAGAGAUGACAGCCUCCAAAGACACACAAAGAGACCUGUAUCUGGCUUGCUUUGACUACUGCUACACUGUGCAUUUUAUAUUUCAAUUAAAAUUUUUAAUUAAGAAAUGUUAACUGUUGUAAGAAUGCUUAACAACUAACAUAUUCAUAUGACCUUUAAAUGGAGUAAGUCUUUAGUAAGAGGUAAUGAACUUGAAUAUUAACAUGAUUCUGAUAAAAAAAUAUGGAAAUAUAUUUAAAUUUGUUUUAUGUUAGCAGUAUGUUAAUAUAAAAUGGUAGCUCUCAUCUAGUUUGGGGCUGUUUUAAUUCAGUAUAUUCAGAUGCAUUUUAAUAUUUCACUACUCAAAAC